Small nuclear RNA from Gorilla gorilla gorilla (western lowland gorilla), 165 nucleotides. Its record names the gene U1. It matches the Rfam family "U1 spliceosomal RNA". From Rfam's summary of the family: U1 is a small nuclear RNA (snRNA) component of the spliceosome (involved in pre-mRNA splicing). Its 5' end forms complementary base pairs with the 5' splice junction, thus defining the 5' donor site of an intron. The record is from Ensembl. Lineage: Eukaryota; Metazoa; Chordata; Mammalia; Primates; Hominidae.
AUACUAACUGAGCUGGAGAGAUAUCCUGAUCACAAAAGUGAUUUUUUGUAGGGUACGGUUUAUCGGUAGCACUCGAGAUGUGCUGAUUCCUGCGAUUUCCCCGAAUAUGGGAAACUCGGCUGCAUAAUUUGUGGUCGUGGGGCGUUGCGUUCGCGCUUUCCCGAG